Frankliniella occidentalis (western flower thrips) is the source of this 347-nucleotide long non-coding RNA. RefSeq lists it as uncharacterized. The record is from RefSeq and is a predicted model, not a curated record. The transcript is spliced from 2 exons. Lineage: Eukaryota; Metazoa; Arthropoda; Insecta; Thysanoptera; Thripidae.
GUCAGUGCUGCAAGUAAACGUAAAGGACUUCUGAAGUCUUCACGCUAUGUUUGAAAGUAUGAGAUGAAUGUCGCAGUCCUUCUGGUCCUCAACGUUCAACUUAUAUAAUGAAGACUCUACUUGCAUUAUUGCAUCUGAGUUAAAAUGGGCAUAUUGCUUGAACUAAAAGCAAAGCUACUCUGAAGAAAUGCCGUUAUGAUUAGGAAAUAGAUGCAUGUCGCAGUAACUUUAGGGCUCACCGUUUCAAUGUUUGCAUGAAGACUGCAGUGGCAGUAAUAAAACUUGAUUGUUAUGGUGAAUAAGUGUGUGGUCAUGAAAAAAAAUAAAUCUGUUGUUUACUUGCUUAA